Small nuclear RNA from Nannospalax galili (Upper Galilee mountains blind mole rat), 107 nucleotides. The record is from Ensembl. NCBI's taxonomy places the organism in Eukaryota, Metazoa, Chordata, Mammalia, Rodentia, Spalacidae.
ACGCUCACUUAAGCAGCACAUAUACUAGCACUGGACCUAUACAGAAAAGAUUGACAUGGCCCCUGGGCAAGAAUGACAAGCAAAUUCAUGAAGCAUUCUUUUUUUGA